Molecule: long non-coding RNA, 336 nt
Filed under: Fukomys damarensis (Damara mole-rat)
Lineage: Eukaryota; Metazoa; Chordata; Mammalia; Rodentia; Bathyergidae
Description: lncRNA (ENSFDAG00000028342.1)
Source: RNAcentral
CUGACCUUCAAUGGUUGCAAUAGUAGAGAAAUAGGGAAUCUCAUCCCACAAGCCGCAGCGUUCCUAGGGGUCAAAGGGGACUUGAAACUAUACAUAUUCACCUGUGAUCUCUGCAGGAAAGAAGUCUCAUCUUUGCCACACAGAGGGAAAAGGAUCCUGAGCUCAAGAGACCUUCACGGAAUAGGAAAGGCAAGAAUGCUGUAGACAACAUUAUGAAAAAGCUGAAGAUUGUAAAUGAAGACAAAGUGGAGAAUGUCAAGCCUACUCUACAGAUCCCCCAAAAGACAUACUAAAGCACUUCUGAUGACCCAUCGAACUUAAUUAUUUCAUGAGCGC